GAUGAACGCUGACAGAAUGCUUAACACAUGCAAGUCUACUUGAAUUUGGGUUUUUUAACUUAGAUUUGGGUGGCGGACGGGUGAGUAACGCGUAAAGAGCUUGCCUCACAGCUAGGGACAACAUUUGGAAACGAAUGCUAAUACCUGAUAUUAUGAUUAUAAGGCAUCUUAGAAUUAUGAAAGCUAUAUGCGCUGUGAGAGAGCUUUGCGUCCCAUUAGCUAGUUGGAGAGGUAACGGCUCACCAAGGCGAUGAUGGGUAGCCGGCCUGAGAGGGUGAACGGCCACAAGGGGACUGAGACACGGCCCUUACUCCUACGGGAGGCAGCAGUGGGGAGUAUUGGACAAUGGACCAAGAGUCUGAUCCAGCAAUUCUGUGUGCACGAUGACGUUUUUCGGAAUGUAAAGUGCUUUCAGUUGGGAAGAAAAAAAUGACGGUACCAACAGAAGAAGUGACGGCUAAAUACGUG
This 468-nucleotide ribosomal RNA is filed under the name uncultured bacterium. RNAcentral's name for it is "partial 16S ribosomal RNA". It matches the Rfam family "Bacterial small subunit ribosomal RNA", at positions 28 to 507 of the family's 1533-position model. The record is from RNAcentral.